Molecule: unclassified non-coding RNA, 313 nt
Filed under: uncultured fungus
Lineage: Eukaryota; Fungi
Description: partial contains 5.8S ribosomal RNA and internal transcribed spacer 2
Rfam family: 5.8S ribosomal RNA (bases 1-133)
Source: RNAcentral
UGGUUCUGGCAUNGAUGAAGAACGCAGCGAAAUGCGAUAAGUAAUGUGAAUUGCAGAAUUCAGUGAAUCAUCGAAUCUUUGAACGCACAUUGCGCCCCUUGGUAUUCCGAGGGGCAUGCCUGUUCGAGCGUCAUUAUAACCACUCAAGCCUAGCUUGGUAUUGGGGUUCGCAGUCUCGCGGCCCUUAAAAUCAGUGGCGGUGCCGUCUGGCUCUAAGCGUAGUAAUUUUUCUCGCUACAGGGUCUGGUGGUUACUUGCCAUUAACCCCCUAUUUUCUUAGGUUGACCUCGGAUCAGGUAGGGGUACCCGCUGA